CGGGGACUAGCGCAACUUGGUUAGCGCGCCUGGUUUGGGACCAGGAGGUUCGCGGUUCAAAUCCGCGGUCCCCGACCA
This 78-nucleotide transfer RNA is filed under the name bacterium. Its description in RNAcentral is "tRNA-Pro". It matches the Rfam family "tRNA". From Rfam's summary of the family: Transfer RNA (tRNA) molecules are approximately 80 nucleotides in length. Their secondary structure includes four short double-helical elements and three loops (D, anti-codon, and T loops). The record is from RNAcentral.